Molecule: non-coding RNA, 2530 nt
Organism: Physeter macrocephalus (sperm whale)
Lineage: Eukaryota; Metazoa; Chordata; Mammalia; Artiodactyla; Physeteridae
Source: the annotation of a RefSeq genome assembly
AUGUGGGACCGGCCUGGCCUUGAGGUCCACACCCCAGCCAUGAGCAGCCUGUGCUCGGCAUGGCACCUCCAGCUGCCUACCAGGCCAGAGAAGGGUACCCUGGUCACCGUCUCCUCGGUUGAGGGUCCCCCACGGCUGCUCCGCCUGACCCACGGGCCAGGUCCCUGGGGUUUGUGGCUGCGCCGCCACUGCCUGAGGGCCAGAGGCCUGGAGCACAGGCAGGGUCUCGGCCCCAUUCGGGACCAGGCCUGGGAGCUGACAGAGCCCCUGGAGGGCGGCCAGGACCGCUUCAGCGCUUGGGGCCAGGGCACCCUGGCCACCGUCUCCUCGGAAAUGGGACUUCUGCUGGCGGAACAGUCUGGGCCGAGCGGGCUCCGCGGCCGGGGCCGCAGGGACCCGGGGGUGGGGCUUCGGGUGGGACCAGGAGGCUGCCAGGGGCUUGGGUUUUUGUACACCCCCCAACGGGAUCCAUGGCACUGUGACCUCUAUGGCCCCUGGGGCCAGGGGGUCCUGGCCACCGUCUCCUCAGGUCUAGAGGGCCCGGGGCAGCCUGGUGGGCUCGGAAAGAGGGCCGAGGGGGCCCAGGCUCACCCCGGCGAGGAACGGAGGUUCCAGACGCCCUCUCUGGCUGGGCGCUGCAGCCAGGGCUUCCCCUGGGGCUCUCAGCCACCCUCGGGCUCUGGGGUCCCGAGGUCCCCAGCCCGGCCGGCCACGGCUGGGAUGUGGGGCCUCUGGGGCAGCCUGGAGGGAGCAGGGCCAGCAGAGGGUUCCGGGGCCCUCCGGAUAAGUGACUCGGACCACCGGCUUCCACGCGGCGCCUGUAGACAGGACAGGUCCCCGGGCGCCAUGGGGCCGUGCCGGGCCCCCGAGGUUUUUGUGAGUGAUUGCUACGGUAUAGACGCCUGGGGCCAAGGGGUCUCUGUCACCGUCUCCUCAGCGAGCCCGUCUCCCCCGACUCUCUUCCCCCUGGUGUCCUGCGUGAGCCCCCUGCCUGAUGCGAAGCCGGUGGCCCUGGGCUGCCUGGCCCGGGACUUCUUGCCCAACUCCGCCAGCUUCUCCUGGAGCUACAGUAACAGCAGCGGGGUCAGCAGCCAGAACGUCCAGAUCUUCCCGGCCGUCCUGAGGGAGGGCAAGUACACGGCCUCCUCCCAGGUGCUCCUGCCGCCCUCAAGCAUCCCCCAGGGCCACGAAGAGCACCUGCUGUGCAAAGUCAAGCACCCCAACGGCGACCAGUCCGUGCCAGUGCCUAUCCAAGGCGAUUCGCUACCUCCUAUGCCUCCCAACGUGGCCGUCUUCAUCCCCCCCCGAGAUGCCUUCUCCGGCUCUCCCCAGCGCACGUCCAGGCUCAUCUGCCAGGCCACAGACUUCAGCCCCAAGCAGAUCUCCUUGUCCUGGUUUCGUGACGGAAAGCGGGUGGUGUCUGGCAUCAGUGAAGGGCCGGUGGAGACUGUACAGUCCUCGCCCAUGACCUUCAGGACCUACAGCAUGCUGACCAUCACGGAGAACGAGUGGCUCAGCCAGAGCGUGUUCACCUGCGAGGUGGAGCACAACAAGGAGAUCUUCCAGAAGAACGUGUCCUCUGUGUGCAACAAUCUAGUCCAGCCCCUCGUCAUAAGGAUCUUCACCAUCGCCCCGUCCUUCGCCGGCAUCUUCCUCACCAAGUCAGCCAAGCUUUCCUGCCUGGUCACAGACCUGACCACCUAUGAGAGCCUGAGCAUCUCCUGGACCCGCCAGGACGGCACGGCCCUGGAGACCCUGACCAACAUCUCCGGGAGCCACGCCAAUGGCACCUUCAGCGCCGUGGGUGAGGCCUCCGUCUGUGUGGAGGACUGGGAGUCUGGAGACUGGUUCACGUGCACGGUGACCCACACAGAUCUGCCCUCGCCGCUGAAGCACAGCAUCUCCAGGCCCAAAGAGGUCGCCAAGCACAUGCCGUCCGUGUACGUGCUGCCACCGACGCGGGAACAGCUGAGCAUGCGGGAGUCCGCCUCCGUCACCUGCCUGGUGAAGGGCUUCUCGCCCGCGGACGUGUUCGUGCAGUGGCUGCAGAAGGGGCAGCCCAUGUCCUCCGACAAGUACGUGACCAGUGCCCCGGCGCCCGAGCCCCAGGCCCCCGGCUUCUACUUCGUGUACAGCAUCCUGACGGUGAGCGAGGAGGACUGGGACAGCGGGGAGACCUACACCUGCGUCGUGGGCCACGAGGCCCUGCCCCACAUGGUGACCGAGAGGACCGUGGACAAGUCCACCGAGGGCGAAGUGAGCGCCGAGGAAGAAGGCUUCGAGAACCUCAACACCAUGGCCUCCACCUUCAUCGUCCUCUUCCUCCUGGGCCUCUUCUACAGCACCACGGUCACCCUGUUCAAGGUGAAGUGACGGCCAGCCAAGGACGUGGGGGACCAGAGACGGAACGAGCGGGGAGCCGCCUGGGGCCAGGGGUUCUGCGUGGCUCGUCCACUUGUACUGAAAUUUUCCCCAUGUCCCUCUCCAGCUUCGAGCUCUAAGAAACCGGCUUCUCCCGACGUGGCCAAAU